RNAcentral lists this ribosomal RNA (691 nucleotides) under uncultured bacterium. Its description in RNAcentral is "bacterial SSU rRNA". It matches the Rfam family "Bacterial small subunit ribosomal RNA", at positions 94 to 801 of the family's 1533-position model. The record is from RNAcentral.
AGCGGCGGACGGGUGAGUAACACGUGGGUAACCUGCCUCAAAGAGGGGGAUAGCCUCCCGAAAGGGAGAUUAAUACCGCAUAACAUUAGUUUUUCGCAUGAAGAACUAAUUAAAGGAGUAAUCCGCUUUGAGAUGGACCCGCGGCGCAUUAGCUAGUUGGUGAGGUAAAGGCUCACCAAGGCGACGAUGCGUAGCCGACCUGAGAGGGUGAUCGGCCACAUUGGAACUGAGACACGGUCCAGACUCCUACGGGAGGCAGCAGUGGGGAAUAUUGCACAAUGGGCGAAAGCCUGAUGCAGCAACGCCGCGUGAGUGAUGAAGGCCUUCGGGUUGUAAAGCUCUGUCUUUUGGGACGAUAAUGACGGUACCAAAGGAGGAAGCCACGGCUAACUACGUGCCAGCAGCCGCGGUAAUACGUAGGUGGCGAGCGUUGUCCGGAUUUACUGGGCGUAAAGGAUGCGUAGGCGGAUAUUUAAGUGAGAUGUGAAAUACCCGGGCUUAACUUGGGUGCUGCAUUUCAAACUGGAUAUCUAGAGUGCGGGAGAGGAGAAUGGAAUUCCUAGUGUAGCGGUGAAAUGCGUAGAGAUUAGGAAGAACACCAGUGGCGAAGGCGAUUCUCUGGACCGUAACUGACGCUGAGGCAUGAAAGCGUGGGUAGCAAACAGGAUUAGAUACCCUGGUAGUCCACGCC